This 486-nucleotide ribosomal RNA is filed under the name Triticum aestivum (bread wheat). Its description in RNAcentral is "partial small subunit ribosomal RNA". The record is from RNAcentral. Lineage: Eukaryota; Viridiplantae; Streptophyta; Magnoliopsida; Poales; Poaceae.
CUGAAGUUCACCUAUGUGCUGGUUGGCUGGGAAGGGUCAACACAUGAUGCCAACAUUCUCAGUGACAGUACGAGUCGUCCAGGUGGCAUCAACAUCCCCGAUGGCAAGUUCUACCUAGAAGAUGUUGGUUAUGCAUGUCGGCCAGGUAUUCUUCCACCCUUCAGGAAAACCAGAUACCAUCUGAACGAGUUCGAUGGUAGGAGCUAUCCUAAGACUCCACAGGAGUUAUUUAAUCUCAAACACUCUAUCCUUAGAGUUACUGUUGAGAGGGCCUUUGGAGCUCUAAAGAACGGGUUUAAGAUCCUAGAUCAGAAGCCAUUCCACACUUUCCCCACUCAGGUUAAGCUUGUUCUUGCUUGUUGCAUUCCGCAUAACUGGAUCAUGCAAUAUGUUUGUGAUGAACUGGUGCCUAAGGAGGAAUAUGUGACGCCUGACGAUGUUGUCAGCUCCGGUCAUGGUGUGGAUGCAUUUGACAACGAAGGCUGA